UUGCUAUCUGCGAUAUGGAAGAUUCGCACCUGCCGCAGGUUCGGGUCGAACGCAGUGAGACAACGGAGCCGUUUACGGCAACGGCCCGUAGGGCGAGGCGAAGCCGAGUCAUCCUGCACGACCCACCA
This 128-nucleotide small RNA is filed under the name Salmonella enterica subsp. enterica. Its description in RNAcentral is "RtT sRNA". It matches the Rfam family "RtT RNA". Rfam says of the family: This family represents a bacterial cis-regulatory element known as RtT RNA. The exact function of RtT is unknown although it is thought that it may be involved in changing the cellular response in relation to amino acid starvation. Lineage: Bacteria; Pseudomonadati; Pseudomonadota; Gammaproteobacteria; Enterobacterales; Enterobacteriaceae. RNAcentral also lists the same sequence under 3 other names. The record is from RNAcentral.